Molecule: ribosomal RNA, 93 nt
Filed under: Glycine max (soybean)
Lineage: Eukaryota; Viridiplantae; Streptophyta; Magnoliopsida; Fabales; Fabaceae
Description: rRNA SSU_rRNA_eukarya
Source: RNAcentral
GAGACCUCAGCCUGCUAAAUAGCUAUGUGGAGGUAACCCUCCACGGCCAGCUUCUUAGAGGGACUAUGGCCGCUUAGGCCACGGAAGUUUGAG